RNAcentral lists this ribosomal RNA (491 nucleotides) under uncultured bacterium. RNAcentral describes it as "bacterial SSU rRNA". It matches the Rfam family "Bacterial small subunit ribosomal RNA", at positions 21 to 507 of the family's 1533-position model. The record is from RNAcentral.
GGCUCAGAUUGAACGCUGGCGGCAUGCCUUACACAUGCAAGUCGAACGGCAGCACGGACUUCGGUCUGGUGGCGAGUGGCGAACGGGUGAGUAAAGUAUCGGAACGUACCUUUCAGUGGGGGAUAACGUAGCGAAAGUUACGCUAAUACCGCAUAUUCUGUGAGCAGGAAAGCAGGGGAUCGCAAGACCUUGCGCUGAUUGAGCGGCCGAUAUCAGAUUAGCUAGUUGGUGGGGUAAAAGCCUACCAAGGCGACGAUCUGUAGCGGGUCUGAGAGGAUGAUCCGCCACACUGGAACUGAGACACGGUCCAGACUCCUACGGGAGGCAGCAGUGGGGAAUUUUGGACAAUGGGGGCAACCCUGAUCCAGCCAUGCCGCGUGAGUGAAGAAGGCCUUCGGGUUGUAAAGCUCUUUCGGCCGGGAAGAAAUCGCACAGGUUAAUACCCUGUGUGGAUGACGGUACCGCAAGAAUAAGCACCGGCUAACUACGUG